This 162-nucleotide small RNA is filed under the name Paenibacillus sp. P22. RNAcentral describes it as "T-box leader". The record is from RNAcentral. Lineage: Bacteria; Bacillati; Bacillota; Bacilli; Caryophanales; Paenibacillaceae.
ACCAUGCCGAUGAUGAGAAUCCAACUCGGAGGCGUUUUCGCCAAGGGAAUUCCGUUCCCCUAAGUUUCCCGGACCGCCCGUUACCGCGGAACCAAAGAGGGUCGGAUCUUUCAGCCGGCCAAAUUGGGUGGCACCGCGAGUCAAGCGCUCCUCGUCCCAACA